CUUGACCGAGCCGAGCAGCACCGGCCGGGCCGGGUCACGGUCGCGGCCAUAGGUGGCCAGCAGCGCUUGUGCCUC
RNAcentral lists this antisense RNA (75 nucleotides) under Actinoplanes sp. N902-109. RNAcentral describes it as "ASpks TB sRNA". It matches the Rfam family "ASpks TB sRNA". The record is from Rfam by way of RNAcentral. Lineage: Bacteria; Bacillati; Actinomycetota; Actinomycetes; Micromonosporales; Micromonosporaceae.